AAUAAGUACAGUUUUACGUUAUUUAUGUCUAACAUUUAACUGUUUGUCUUAUUUGAAAUUUUUUUAUGAUUACUAUUUCAUAAUUUUAUUGUUAUUAGAUAAUAAAAUAUGAAUAGUACUUUAUGUGUGACUAUUUUUUUAUUUUUUUCAUAAAUUUUUCAAAUAAGACGGAUGGUUAAACGUUGGAGGUAGUACAUGCUCGCACAGAUG
Non-coding RNA from Oryza nivara, 210 nucleotides. The record is from Rfam. NCBI's taxonomy places the organism in Eukaryota, Viridiplantae, Streptophyta, Magnoliopsida, Poales, Poaceae.